CCUACGGGGGGCAGCAGUGAGGAAUAUUGGUCAAUGGCCGAGAGGCUGAACCAGCCAAGUCGCGUGAGGGAAGACGGCCCUACGGGUUGUAAACCUCUUUUGUCGGGGAGCAAAGCGAACCACGUGUGGUUCAUUGAGAGUACCCGAAGAACAAGCCUCGGCUAACUCCGUGCCAGCAGCCGCGGUAAUCCGGAGGAUGCGAGCGUUAUCCGGGUUUAUUGGGUUAAAAGGGUGCGCAGGCGGAGGUGCAAGUCAGCGGUAAAAUUGCGGGGCUCAACCCCGUACUGCCGUUGAAACUGCAUCCCUUGAGUGCGCGAGAAGUAUGCGGAAUGCGUGGUGUAGCGGUGAAAUGCAUAGAUAUCACGCAGAACUCCGAUUGCGAAGGCAGCAUACCGGCGCGCAACUGACGCUCAUGCACGAAAGCGUGGGUAUCGAACAGGAUUAGAUACCCCAUUAGUC
Molecule: ribosomal RNA, 459 nt
Filed under: uncultured bacterium
Lineage: Bacteria
Description: partial 16S ribosomal RNA
Rfam family: Bacterial small subunit ribosomal RNA
Source: RNAcentral